Molecule: ribosomal RNA, 236 nt
Filed under: uncultured Candidatus Saccharibacteria bacterium
Lineage: Bacteria; Candidatus Saccharimonadota
Description: partial 16S ribosomal RNA
Rfam family: Bacterial small subunit ribosomal RNA
Source: RNAcentral
UAAGUAGAUAGUGAAAUCUGGUGGCUCAACCAUUCAGACUGUUAUCUAAACUGGACAUCUCGAGAGCGUCAGGGGUAACUGGAAUUUCUAGUGUAGGAGUGAAAUCCGUAGAUAUAAGGAGGAAUACCGAUGGCGUAGGCAGGCUACUGGCUCGUCCCUGACACUAAGGCACGAAAGCGUGGGGAGCGACCGGGAUUAGAUACCCCGUUAGUCCACGCCGUAAACGAUGGAUGCUA